AGCUCACAAGCCCACUGCACUGAUGGCUUAAUGAACACAACGCAUCUUGGAGAAGUGUCCCCUCCAGGAAACGAGCAAUCAUACUCUAUAUUCAGCUCAGUACCUGCUGCUGAUCCAG
Molecule: long non-coding RNA, 118 nt
Organism: Pundamilia nyererei
Lineage: Eukaryota; Metazoa; Chordata; Actinopteri; Cichliformes; Cichlidae
Exons: 3
Source: RefSeq, a predicted model, not a curated record